AGUGUUUUUCAGGAGCACGGUUGUCCUUUCUCAGCUUUGAUGUGUGAAAUGUAGUAUCUCUUUAUAGGAUGCACUUUUGACACACAAGCAACGCCUUACUCUCAAUUAGUUGACAUUAAAAAAAUGGUGGCAGUUGCUUGGUUCUCUUUCGACCCUGCCUCCGCGCACGCCGACAUCAUCUUUUCUAAUGACAACCUGACUGUCACCUGCAACAGCUACGAUGACAGGGUUGUGCUGGGGAAAACGGGCUUUUCCAAAGGGCUCCAUUACUGGGAGCUGUCGAUCGA
This is a non-coding RNA of Tinamus guttatus (white-throated tinamou), 287 nucleotides long. The record is from RefSeq and is a predicted model, not a curated record. Lineage: Eukaryota; Metazoa; Chordata; Aves; Tinamiformes; Tinamidae.